RNAcentral lists this ribosomal RNA (160 nucleotides) under Debaryomyces sp. Its description in RNAcentral is "partial large subunit ribosomal RNA". It matches the Rfam family "Eukaryotic large subunit ribosomal RNA", at positions 99 to 261 of the family's 3401-position model. The record is from RNAcentral. Lineage: Eukaryota; Fungi; Ascomycota; Pichiomycetes; Serinales; Debaryomycetaceae.
CGGCAACAGCUCAAAUUUGAAAUCUGGCGCAAGCCCGAGUUGUAAUUUGAAGAAGGUAACUUUGGAGUUGGCUCUUGUCUAUGUUCCUUGGAACAGGACGUCACAGAGGGUGAGAAUCCCGUGCGAUGAGAUGCCCAAUUCUAUGUAAAGUGCUUUCGAA